GGGGUACGAGAGGGCCGCUACCACGCGAGUGGAUGCCAGUCCCUAAAACCCCUCCUCAGUUCGGACUGGAGUCUGCAACCCGACUCCACGAAGCUGGAUUCGCUAGUAAUCGCGCAUCAGCCACGGCGCGGUGAAUACGUUCCCGGGCCUUGUACACACCGCCCGUCAAGCCAUGGGAGCCGGGGGUACCUGAAGUGCGUAACCGCGAGGAUCGCCCUAGGGUAAAACUGGUGACUGGGGCUAAGUCGUAACAAGGUAUC
Molecule: ribosomal RNA, 260 nt
Filed under: uncultured bacterium
Lineage: Bacteria
Description: partial 16S ribosomal RNA
Rfam family: Bacterial small subunit ribosomal RNA
Source: RNAcentral